GACGACGCUGGCGGCGUGGAUUAGGCAUGCAAGUCGAACGGUAUCAUCCUUUCGGGGGUGAGAGAGUGGCGAACUGGUGAGUAACACGUAGGUUAUCUACCUCAAGACGGGGACAACCCAGGGAAACUUGGGCUAAUACCGGAUGUGAGCAACUUUUAGUUGUUUGAAAGGUGGCGUAAGCUGUCGCUUGGGGAUGAGCCUGCGUCCUAUUAGUUAGUUGGUGAGGUAACGGCUCACCUAGGCAAUGAUAGGUAGGCGGCCUUAACGGGUGGUCGCCCACACUGGGAUUGAGAUACGGCCCAGACUCCUACGGGAGGCAGCAGUCGAGAAUAGUCUACAAUGGUCGGAAGACUGAUAGUGCGACGCCGCGUGAACGAUGAAUCCCUUCGGGGUGUAAAGUUCUUUUAUAUGUGAGCAGUGCUUCUUAUAUUAAACAGUAUGGGGAGAGAGAUAUUAGCAUAUGAAUAAGCAACGGCUAACUCCGUG
RNAcentral lists this ribosomal RNA (486 nucleotides) under uncultured bacterium. RNAcentral describes it as "bacterial SSU rRNA". It matches the Rfam family "Bacterial small subunit ribosomal RNA", at positions 33 to 507 of the family's 1533-position model. The record is from RNAcentral.